Long non-coding RNA from Bos taurus (domestic cattle), 1664 nucleotides. The record is from Ensembl. Lineage: Eukaryota; Metazoa; Chordata; Mammalia; Artiodactyla; Bovidae.
GUCCCAUAGCUGGUCCCCGCCGCAGGGCAGGGACCUGGAUCGGAUCUGCAACGGGACUUUCGGUAUGCUGGGCUAGGGUGCGGCUAGACAGCGCUCAGCCGGGCUACAGGCGGGAGCACCGCCCGGAGUAGAGGCGAGAAGGCCGCUUGGGGGCUUCCUCACAGAGCAGACCCAGGGCCCCGCACACCUGGGCAGAAGGGCCGGAGUCUGGGGGCGUCAGACAGAUGCUCACAGGGGCGUGCUCCAGGGCUGGGCUCCAGCCUGCGCAGUCCGGGGGAUGACACUAGGGGGCAGCGAGGGGUAGCGGGAACCACGUCCUGGAGGGAAGACCCUCCGACCUGCCAGAUGAAGUGCGGGCGCGCUGGGCGCAGCGGCCGGGGUAUCACGGAGGGAGGCAGCCUCCCGCGGGCUGAGGGGGCGAGGAGGGGCCAGCGGGCCCGCAUCCUAGGCUACGCAAGCGGCCGCUUGCCGCUCCCGCGCCAGCAGAGGUCCCGGGUCCUCCAUCUGCUUCCAAGCACAGGCGCAGCGGCUCCGCGUUGACCCACAUUCCCUCCAGCCGCGGAGCCGGGGGCGGGGAAUCCACCGGCCGCGGAGCAGGUCUAAGGGGUGCAGGGUACAGGCUGUACCACCCUCCUCGUGUCUUGACCCCCGUCCCCCGCCUGGGGUCAGCCAGCAGCUGUCCCGAACAGUUCCUACACCGCUCCUCCCACUAAGUUGGGACCCUGGACCUUCAAGAAGGCUGUGCGUUUUCCGAUGAGAUCACUGUCCACUCACUGACUGUGUCCACUGGGGGGACUUGAGCCCUGGGACCUCAUGGAUCGAAGAGCGGGACAGAAAGAUCCUGGUAAGGAAUACUGAACUAAUAAGCCACCACCAACCGGAAGAGUUCGGGAAAGGUCAAAAGGAGACACCGCGAGUCCGUCCACUUCCCAGAAUCCCUCUGGCUAGCAUCCAUCUUGGCUGAAUGAUGCGUGUGCCACCAGGAAAGACUCUGAAUUACAACAAUUGGUCAAAGACAACCCGGAAACUAAUCCCAUCACCAUAAAACCCGAGACUGUGAGUCACAUGGCAGAGCAGUUCUCCUGAGUUCCCUUACCCUACUGCUCUCAAUACAAUCUCUUGCUAUGUCAGCACAUGUGUCUCCUUGGACAAUUCAUUUCCGAGUGUUAGACAAGAGCCCAGUUUCGGGCCCUGGAAGGGGUCCCCCUUCCUGCAACAUAUUGACCCCCUUUCUCCCUCCUCACUCCCACUUCCAAGGUAGCCACUGUUCAUGGCCAAGGAGGUACAGCUGGAUCAAUCGGCAUUCAUGUGUUUUAAUGUGCUUGGUGUAGAAAUGAGAUCAGGAUAGUAUAAGACCUACUGGGCAGUGACUGGUCCCCAAAAGCCAAGCAGCUCUGAGCGUUUUGCAUGCAGUAACUCAUUUGUUCCUGUAGACUUAAAAAAUAGUGACAACAUAAAGUUUGACAGUUAUGUUUUAUUUGGUGGGAAUUUUUAGGACUGACUUCCCUGGUGGACUUCCCUGGUGGCUCAGACGGUAAAGCGUCUGUCUACAAUGCGGGAGACCUGGGUUCGAUCCCUGGGUUGGGAAGAUUCCCUGGAGAAGGAAAUGGCAACCCACUCCAGUACCCUUGCCUAGAAAAUCCCAUGGAUGGAGGAGCCUGGUG